Molecule: long non-coding RNA, 344 nt
Filed under: Elaeis guineensis (African oil palm)
Lineage: Eukaryota; Viridiplantae; Streptophyta; Magnoliopsida; Arecales; Arecaceae
Description: long non-coding RNA (EGUI_LNC003011)
Source: RNAcentral
CACUAGCGAACUCAACAAUAAAGGAAGGCAUGAAUGUUUGGAUGGCAGUAUAGAGAAUGCUUUUUUUUUCUCAAACCUGAAUAGAAAGUUCAAAGAAGAAGAGACGAAGCUUAUUCUACUAGUCGGUAUCCACGAACAAUGCCCCCUUGCUCUCACAUGCCUAAGCAGCGGUCCCGAUCCCAAGCCACCGACCAUUAGAGAAUGCUAUCAUGUAAGGAUCAACUGAUAGCUUAAUUUUUAUAAAAUCUUAUAACUGUCUUUCCCACUAACUUGGCAAGAGGCUCUUGUUUUGACAAAAAUUGAAAGGAAAGAGAAGAAAGUAAUAUUUUGAGAUCUAUGCCAAC